Molecule: unclassified non-coding RNA, 255 nt
Filed under: fungal sp.
Lineage: Eukaryota; Fungi
Description: partial internal transcribed spacer region
Rfam family: Eukaryotic small subunit ribosomal RNA (bases 1-46)
Source: RNAcentral
AAGUCGUAACAAGGUAACCGUAGGUGAACCUGCGGUUGGAUCAUUUCGAUUAUAGGAUGGGAUGCGUUGCGAAAGCUGCGCGGCCCGUUUUAUGUACCCCGUGAACGUUUCCCGUAUUUUGGCAGCCCUCCGAGUCACGUCGGCCAGGUGACUGGUUGGCGCGUACUGGGCUGCCAGCUGUAUAGACACUGUAUUUAUUAAGUUUCGGUUAGAAAAUGAAUGAAACAACUUUUGACAACGGAUCUCUUGGCUCUU